RNAcentral lists this ribosomal RNA (253 nucleotides) under uncultured bacterium. Its description in RNAcentral is "partial 16S ribosomal RNA". It matches the Rfam family "Bacterial small subunit ribosomal RNA", at positions 524 to 776 of the family's 1533-position model. The record is from RNAcentral.
UACAGAGGGGGCAAGCGUUGUUCGGAAUUACUGGGCGUAAAGGGCGCGUAGGCGGCCUUCUAAGUCGAACGUGAAAUCCCCGGGCUCAACCCGGGAACUGCGUCCGAUACUGGAAGGCUUGAAUCCGGGAGAGGGAUGCGGAAUUCCAGGUGUAGCGGUGAAAUGCGCAGAUAUCAGGAGGAACACCGAUGGCGAAGGCAGCUCGCUGGGACGGUACUGACGCUGAGACGCGAAAGCGUGGGGAGCAAACAGG